AAACUAUUAAUUGAAUUUAGUGAUUCCAGCUGUCAUCAUGAAAAUCUACUUUGCAUUGAUCGGUCUGCUGCUUUGCAGCACUUUGACACUGGCUCAAAGGAGAAAUUGUCCUUCCGUCUGCACUUUGGAAUAUAAUCCUGUCUGCGGAGAGGCCAAUGUUCGAGGACAACAAGUUCGCUGCCAAUUCUCCAAUCCAUGUGUUAUGACUAGCAGUGGUUGUCGCAACGGCAUCAACUGGCGAUCAACUAGCUGUGGAAUUACUUCACCCCAAUGCUCGAGCCUUGUUUAAUAAUAAGAGUUCAAAGAACAACCAUUUAAAAAAACAAAUUUAAUAUUCAUUUGGCUAUUUGUUAUGAGAGGUUUUUAUUAAGCAACUUCCGUUGCUAAUGCACUUCGAUAUAGAUUAUAUAGUUUAUAAAUUGCCAUUAUGCCACGAAAUUUGUAUUUUCUCAGAAAUAUAUAAAUAGAAAUGCAUUUUGACUUUUAAAAUUAGUUCAAAUUUGAUAUCUUAACUAUCAACAUGAAAAUCUUCUUUGCGUUGUUCGCUCUCGUAAUUUGUUGCAAUUUAACAACAGCUAUAUCUGGCAAUUGCUACAACAGAGCCUGUCUCCCUGACAACCCUCCCGAAUGUCGUUGUAAUCCGAUAAACGAAUAGGAUUAUACUACAUUCCUUGCAAAGAUUAACCAUCGCCCUAUUUACAUAAAAUGUGCACAAUGAAU
This is a long non-coding RNA of Drosophila sulfurigaster albostrigata, 720 nucleotides long. RefSeq lists it as uncharacterized. The record is from RefSeq and is a predicted model, not a curated record. Lineage: Eukaryota; Metazoa; Arthropoda; Insecta; Diptera; Drosophilidae. The transcript is spliced from 3 exons.